GAUGAACGCUGGCGGCGUGCCUAAUACAUGCAAGUCGAGCGAACAGACGAGGAGCUUGCUCCUCUGACGUUAGCGGCGGACGGGUGAGUAACACGUGGAUAACCUACCUAUAAGACUGGGAUAACUUCGGGAAACCGGAGCUAAUACCGGAUAAUAUAUUGAACCGCAUGGUUCAAUAGUGAAAGACGGUUUUGCUGUCACUUAUAGAUGGAUCCGCGCCGCAUUAGCUAGUUGGUAAGGUAACGGCUUACCAAGGCAACGAUGCGUAGCCGACCUGAGAGGGUGCGCGGAAAGCGGGGAACUGAGAGACGGGCCAGACGCCGACGGGAGGAAGCAGUGGGGAAUAUUGAACAAUGGAGGGAAGCAUGAUGAAGCAACGCCGGGGGCGGGAGGAAGGCCGUCGGGUUGUAAACCGAUGUCGCCGGGGACGAAGCGGGAGUGACGGGAAGGGGUAAAGAAGGACCGGCUAACUACGUG
This 477-nucleotide ribosomal RNA is filed under the name uncultured bacterium. RNAcentral's name for it is "partial 16S ribosomal RNA". It matches the Rfam family "Bacterial small subunit ribosomal RNA", at positions 28 to 507 of the family's 1533-position model. The record is from RNAcentral.